UACGUAGGGUGCGAGCGUUAAUCGGAAUUACUGGGCGUAAAGCGUGCGCAGGCGGUUUUUUAAGCCAGAUGUGAAAUCCCCGGGCUCAACCUGGGAAUGGCAUUUGGGACUGCAAGGCUGGAGUACGGCAGAGGAGACUGGAAUUCCUGGUGUAGCAGUGAAAUGCGUAGAUAUCAGGAGGAAUACCGAUGGCGAAGGCAGGUCUCUGGGCUGAUACUGACGCUCAUGCACGAAAGCGUGGGGAGCAAACAGG
RNAcentral lists this ribosomal RNA (253 nucleotides) under uncultured bacterium. RNAcentral describes it as "partial 16S ribosomal RNA". It matches the Rfam family "Bacterial small subunit ribosomal RNA", at positions 524 to 776 of the family's 1533-position model. The record is from RNAcentral.